UACGGAGGGUGCAAGCGUUAUCCGGAAUCACUGGGUUUAAAGGGUACGUAGGCUGUUAUUUAAGUCAGUCGUGAAAGUUUGUUGCUUAACAAUAAAAUUGCGAUUGAUACUGAAUAGCUAGAAUUUGGUUGAGGCUGGCGGAAUGAGACAAGUAGCGGUGAAAUGCAUAGAUAUGUCUCAGAACACCAAUUGCGAAGGCAGCUGGCUAAGCCAAUAUUGACGCUGAGGUACGAAAGUGUGGGUAGCAAACGGG
RNAcentral lists this ribosomal RNA (253 nucleotides) under uncultured bacterium. RNAcentral describes it as "partial 16S ribosomal RNA". It matches the Rfam family "Bacterial small subunit ribosomal RNA", at positions 524 to 776 of the family's 1533-position model. The record is from RNAcentral.